ACCUGUCAUGUCAGACUUAAGUAAUAGAGAAUUAAAGUUAUACGAUAUGAUUGUCGAGCGUUUUUUAGAAGCUUUAAUGCC
Molecule: small RNA, 81 nt
Filed under: Staphylococcus aureus
Lineage: Bacteria; Bacillati; Bacillota; Bacilli; Caryophanales; Staphylococcaceae
Description: Antisense
Source: RNAcentral